Long non-coding RNA from Glycine soja, 418 nucleotides. RefSeq lists it as uncharacterized. The transcript has 3 exons. Lineage: Eukaryota; Viridiplantae; Streptophyta; Magnoliopsida; Fabales; Fabaceae. The record is from RefSeq and is a predicted model, not a curated record.
GUCACUUGCUAUAGCACAUAAUAUUUGUCCACAAUCUAGUGUUCUUAAAAAAGUUAAAAUGAAUUCCUUCUCUGUUUUGUAGGAAUUGAAGCUCGGGGUUUCAUUUUUGGUUCUCCCAUUGCACUGGCAAUAGAAGCAAAGUUUCUACCAUUGAGGAAACCGAAAAAAUUGCCUGGCAAAGUUAUUUCUCAAGAGCAUAUUCUGGAAUAUGGAAGAGAUUGUCUUGAGAUGCAUGUUGGUUUGGAGCUGUUGAACCUGGUGAGCGUGCUUUAGUUGUUGAUUAUUUGAUUGCAACUGGUGGAACACUCUGUGCAGCUAUGGACUUACUAGGAUUUGAUGCUUGGUGUAGCUGAUCUUCAUACACUAGAGGCAGUGGCUACUGCUGAAUCUGCAAUUUCCACUUUUCUGCAAUCUGCUG